RNAcentral lists this ribosomal RNA (447 nucleotides) under uncultured bacterium. Its description in RNAcentral is "bacterial SSU rRNA". It matches the Rfam family "Bacterial small subunit ribosomal RNA", at positions 355 to 825 of the family's 1533-position model. The record is from RNAcentral.
UCGGGAAUUUUGGGCAAUGGGGGAAACCCUGACCCAGCAACGCCGCGUGAAGGAUGAAGUAUUUCGGUAUGUAAACUUCGAAAGAAUAGGAAGAAUAAAUGACGGUACUAUUUAUAAGGUCCGGCUAACUACGUGCCAGCAGCCGCGGUAAUACGUAGGGACCAAGCGUUGUUCGGAUUUACUGGGCGUAAAGGGCGCGUAGGCGGCAUGACAAGUCACUUGUGAAAUCUCUGGGCUUAACCCAGAACGGCCAAGUGAUACUGUCGCGCUAGAGUGCAGAAGGGGCAAUCGGAAUUCUUGGUGUAGCGGUGAAAUGCGUAGAUAUCAAGAGGAACACCUGAGGUGAAGACGGGUUGCUGGGCUGACACUGACGCUGAGGUGCGAAAGCGUGGGGAGCAAACAGGAUUAGAUACCCCUGUAGUCCCUGAGCGGGCUGGCAAGGCGCAU